RNAcentral lists this long non-coding RNA (1436 nucleotides) under Olea europaea (common olive). Its description in RNAcentral is "long non-coding RNA (OEUR_LNC014930)". Lineage: Eukaryota; Viridiplantae; Streptophyta; Magnoliopsida; Lamiales; Oleaceae. The record is from RNAcentral.
UUCCUUAGAACCGUACUUGAGAGUUUCCCAGUAAGCAAACAGGGAACCCAUGGGUAUUUGAAUCCAAGUAUCCAGGAAAAGCCAAAGUAUUUGACCCAUUUGACACGUGCAAUUUCUCUUCAGUCAAUACGUCCUGCAAUUUGUAUUACUUAUUCAAUUGAAAGUCCUGAUCCAAUUCAAAAAUUAUGUUUCGAAAUUUCAUGAUCGAAACUCUUUUUUUUUCUCAAAACUUAUUUUCAACCAUACAUUCAUGCGAUAAAAUAUUUUGCACGUAAAUUUAAUUUUUUUCUACAUUUUGACCAUAUAUACUGCCAAAAAAUCACUAUUUAAAAAAUCAUUUUCCCCCAGGAACUGUUUAAAAAGGGGGACAAAUAGAGGCUAAGUCUUGUUCUAGUAAAUGUGGGUUCCACUCCAUGGAUCUUUUUCGCCACUCUAUUCAGUUCAUUGCUAGAGUUAUUGGGAGAUAUAAAGCUAUUAGAUCUUAAGCAACUAAAACUUGCCUUUUGUAUUAGAAUCCAUGUCAUAAGAUUUGAAAAUGUUUACAUGUCGACUUGCCACAACUUCCUCCUUUUACCCAUACUCGGGACCAGCUAUUUAAAACAUAGGCAGAUGAUGUUGACACCUACUAUUUUCAGAUUCACCUUAAAAGUACCUCUAAACAUUUGAUGAAUUAGUUGAGUACGCAUUAUAAAGAUUUACAUUGAACACACACAAAAGAUUUAGUAUGAGAAAUUGUCACGAGUUACCGAAAAGUUUCUUCCAUAUAUCCAAGAUAAUAUUCUUUUUUUUUUUUUUCCUAAACAACAGAAUAUUGUAUUUUUCCCCCUUUUCACCACAUUCAGCUUAUUCACUAGGUUUUCUUAUCCAACAGCUCUUGACCUUUUCCCAAAAUUAUCUUGACUUUGACGGGACGUUAAAGAUUUGGAAAGAUUUUUUGAUAUCAUCUGUGAUUUUUUUUGUGAUUUCUUACAUUAUUUCUGAUUGUGCAAUUAGUAUAAAAAUGUUACCUUUUAUAUUAAUUUGUAACUCUAUAUUAGGUUCCUUGUCAUUGCAAUUCCUAUGCACAAGAGUACUUCAGCCAAAUUUCCCUAUUGUUUUUGGCAUUUCUUGUUCCAAUAUUGAAUUUAUAGUUCUAAGAUGAAGAAUGCUAUCUCAUAAUAUAGUAUUUCAUUACGAUAUUUAUCUUGUAACAUGCUAUAAUUUGCCAUGUAAAUGUACUUGCAGAUCAAAAGCAAUCCCCAGGACAGUUUGGAUUGUAGUUGCACAAGUAACAAUGGUAGUGACAUACCUUCUCUUUGCUUCAGCUCUUGAUGGUACUCUUUAUGCUGCAACGUUGUUGCUUGGAAUCUGCUAUGGCAUUCACGGUUCUGUCAUUACCCCUGCAGUCUCUGAGCUUUUUGGCCUUAAACACUUUGGUAUUAUUUCGAAUCUCAUGG